RNAcentral lists this microRNA precursor (93 nucleotides) under Pelobates cultripes (western spadefoot toad). The record is from RNAcentral. Lineage: Eukaryota; Metazoa; Chordata; Amphibia; Anura; Pelobatidae.
CUCCAGAUGUUGCUGAAAUACAACUCCCAUGAUUCUCAGCCUAUCUAUUUCACUCAUAGAAUCAUGGGAGUUGUAGUUCAGCAACAUCUGGAG